GAAAGUGCCUAAAGACGAGCUCGCGCCUGAUUAGCUAGUUGGUGGGGUAAAGGCCUACCAAGGCGACGAUCAGUAGCUGGUUUGAGAGAAUGAUCAGCCACACUGGAACUGAGACACGGUCCAGACUCCUGCGGGAGGCAGCAGUGGGGAAUUUUCCGCAAUGGGCGAAAGCCUGACGGAGCAAUACCGCGUGAGGGAUUAAGGCCUGUGGGUUGUAAACCUCUUUUCUCAAGGAAGAAUCAAUGACGGUACUUGAGGAAUAAGCAUCGGCUAACUCCGUGCCAGCAGCCGCGGUAAUACGGGGGAUGCAAGCGUUAUCCGGAAUUAUUGGGCGUAAAGCGUCUGUAGGUUGUUUAAUAAGUCUGUUGUUAAAGACUGGGGCUUAACCCCAGGAAAGCAAUAGAAACUGUUAGGCUAGAGUAUGGUAGAGGUAGAGGGAAUUCCUAGUGUAGCGGUGAAAUGCGUAGAUAUUAGGAAGAACACCGGUGGCGAAAGCGCUCUGCUGGGCCAUAACUGACACUCAGAGACGAAAGCUAGGGUAGCAAAUGGGAUUAGAUACCCCAGUAGUCCUAGCCGUAAACGAUGGAUACUAGAUGUUGCGUAACUCGAUUAUGCAGUGUUCUAGCUAACGCGUUAAGUAUCCCGCCUGGGGAGUACACUCGCAAGGGUGAAACUCAAAGGAAUUGACGGGGGCCCGCACAAGCGGUGGAGCAUGUGGUUUAAUUUGAUGCAACGCGAAGAACCUUACCAAGGCUUGACAUGUCACGAAUCUUUUUGAGAAGAAAGAGUGCCCUCGGGAACGUGAACACAGGUGGUGCAUGGCUGUCGUCAGCUCGUGUCGUGAGAUGUUGGGUUAAGUCCCGCAACGAGCGCAACCCUUGUCUUUAGUUACCAUCAUUUAGUUGGGGACUCUAGAGAGACUGCCGGUGACAAACCGGAGGAAGGUGAGGACGACGUCAAGUCAGCAUGCCCCUUAUGCCUUGGGCUACACACGUGCUACAAUGGCUAAGACAAAGAGCAGCAAGCUUGUGAAAGUUAGCAAAUCUCGUAAACUU
RNAcentral lists this ribosomal RNA (1055 nucleotides) under uncultured marine rappemonad. RNAcentral's name for it is "bacterial SSU rRNA". It matches the Rfam family "Bacterial small subunit ribosomal RNA", at positions 211 to 1283 of the family's 1533-position model. The record is from RNAcentral.